AGAUUAGUUUCAGUGAGUUUACACAGUCAGCGUUUUGGCGGUGAGGCUCUGAAGUUGAAUCAAGCCAAGAAAUACAAUUGAUCAUCCUAGUCUGCAAAUUUCAUUUGCAAGUUCAAUUGAAGUGUUGUGCUUUUGGUGUUAUAAAUGAAGUUCAUCAUUAAACCCAAGAACACAGACUGAUUCAGUGGGUUAGGUGGAAGUACUGGGAAUGGUACUGGCAAUGAUUCUGGAAUCGUGCAGAGCCUGGCAUGGGAAAGGUGAGGGAAGGAGAAGGCAGCCUUGGUAGUGGGGUGGAACGUGAAGAAUGGGAAUUCUGGGAAGAGAUGGUUAUAUACAUUAUUCUAUACUGAAGAGCUGUCAUUUGAUGGUUAUAUUUGUAAAUAUUUUGAUUUUGAGAAGAUUAGAAGUGGCUGAGGAGGAAGUGAGGCCUCCGAGAGCGGUCAGAUAAGUGGGGGACAGGAGGGGAGAAUGCAGCAGUGGAAUCUGACAUGACACCUCGGCAGAUUCCUUAGUCUUUUUUUUUCCCACUAGCUAAAAUGACAGUGUCUUUGGGGCCUUGAAAAGAGAAGACAAAUGGAAUAGAGAAGGGGGAUAGAGCUGGAGCCUUAGCCACAGCUGAGCUGAGUGCCUUUUUUUAUUAGGGAGGAUAUAUGUGUGCAGAGGGGUAGAUAGACUAAGGAUGGAGUUUAAACCAGAAAAGUCCAUGUGGAAAAGUAUUAAG
RNAcentral lists this long non-coding RNA (721 nucleotides) under Homo sapiens (human). RNAcentral describes it as "non-protein coding MIR583HG:44". Lineage: Eukaryota; Metazoa; Chordata; Mammalia; Primates; Hominidae. The record is from RNAcentral.